This 1674-nucleotide long non-coding RNA is filed under the name Triticum aestivum (bread wheat). RNAcentral describes it as "long non-coding RNA (TAES_LNC001736)". The record is from RNAcentral. Lineage: Eukaryota; Viridiplantae; Streptophyta; Magnoliopsida; Poales; Poaceae.
UUAUGUGAUGUUUGUUUACUAUGUUGUUUGCUUUCUUUCCGGUGUACUUCUUCUCGGUAAUUCGGUAACCUUGCGUUUGUGAGGAUCCGUUGGCUACGUCCGUUUGUCUUCUUCAUGGACUCAUUCUUCUUCCUUGCGGGAUUUCAGGCAAGAUGACCAUACCCUCGAAAUCACUUCUAUCUUUGCUUGCUAGUUGCUCGCUCUUUUGCUAUGCCUAUGCUGCGAUACCUACCACUUGCUUAUCAUGCCUCCCAUAUUGUUAAGCCAAGCCUCUAACCCACCUUGUCCUAGCAAACCGUUGUUUGGCUAUGUUAUCGCUUUGCUCAGCCCCUCUUAUAGCGUUGUUAGUUGCAGGUGAAGAUUGGAGUUUGUUCCAUGUUUGGAACAUGGUUAUUUGUUGGGAUAUCAUAAUAUCUCUUAUUUAAUUAAUGCAUCUCUAUACUUGGUAAAGGAUGGAAGGAUCGGCCUUAUGCCUGGUGUUUUGUUCCACUCUUGCCGCCCUAGUUUUCGUCAUAUCGGUGUUAUGUUCCCGGAUUUUGCGUUCCUUACGCGGUUGGGUUAUAAUGGGAACCCCUUGACAGUUCGCCUUGAAUAAAACUCCUUCAGCAAGGCCCAACAUUGGUUUUACCAUUUGCCACCUAGCCUUUUUCUUCCCCUUGAGUCGGCCGGUUCAAGGGUCAUCUUUAUUUAAACCCCCGGGCUAGUUCUCCUCUGAGUGUUGGUUCAACCUGUCAGCUGCCGGUGGCCAUCAGGGGCAACUCUGGGCUGGCCUACCGGAACCUUGGACAAUCCGGUGUGCCCUGAGAAAGAGAUAUGUGCAGCUCCUAUCGGGAUUUGUCGGCACAUUCGGGUGGCUUUGCUGGUCUUGUUUUACCAUUGUCGAAAUGUCUUGUAACCGGGAUUCUGAGUCUGAUCGGGUCUUCCCGCUAGAAGGAAUAUCCUUCGUUGACCGUGAGAGCUUGUGACGGGCUAAGUUGGGACACCCCUGCAGGGAUUUGAACUUUCGAAAGCCGUGCCCGCGGUUAUGGGCAGAUGGGAAUUUGUUAAUGUCCGGUUGUAGAAAAGAAGUUGAUCUUAAUUAAAAACGCAUCAACCGCGUGUGUAACCGUGAUGGUCUCUUUCCGGCGGAGUCCGGGAAGUGAACAUGGUGUUGGAGUUAUGCUUGACAUAGGUCGUUCUAGGAUCACUUCUUGAUCAUAGAUUCUCGAUCGUGCUUUUGCCUUCUCUUCUCGCUCUCAUUUGCGUAUGUUUAGCCACCAUAUAUGCUAGUCGCUUGCCGCAGCUCCACCUCAUACCUUUUACCUACCUAUAAGCUUAAAUAGUCUUGAUCGCGAGGGUGUGAGAUUGCUGAGUCUCCAUGACUCACAGAUACUUCCAAAACCAGCUUGCAGGUGCCAUUGAACCGUGCAGGUGACGCAACCAAGCUCAAGGAGGAGCUCGAUGAAGUUCGUGUUCAUUGUGUUGUUCCGUUUCUAGUUGGUCAGUAGUGGAGCCCAGUCGGGACGAUCGGGGAUCUGUGUAGCUUUUGGGGUAGUCUUCUUUUAUUUUGGUUCUGUAGUCGGACCUUGAUUGUAUCUGGUUGAUAUAAUGCUUUAUUCAUGUAAUUUUGUGAAGUGGCGAUUGUAAGCCAACUAUGUAUCUCUUUCCCUUAUGUAUUGCAUGGGUUGUGUGAAG